GACGAACGCUGGCGGCGUGCCUAAUACAUGCAAGUAGAACGCUGAAGAGAGGAGCUUGCUCUUCUUGGAUGAGUUGCGAACGGGUGAGUAACGCGUAGGUAACCUGCCUUGUAGCGGGGGAUAACUAUUGGAAACGAUAGCUAAUACCGCAUAACAAUGGAUGACCCAUGUCAUUUAUUUGAAAGGGGCAAAUGCUCCACUACAAGAUGGACCUGCGUUGUAUUAGCUAGUAGGUGAGGUAACGGCUCACCUAGGCGACGAUACAUAGCCGACCUGAGAGGGUGAUCGGCCACACUGGGACUGAGACACGGCCCAGACUCCUACGGGAGGCAGCAGUAGGGAAUCUUCGGCAAUGGGGGCAACCCUGACCGAGCAACGCCGCGUGAAUGAAGAAGGUUUUCGGAUCGUAAAGCUCUGUUGUAAGUCAAGAACGAGUGUGAGAGUGGAAAGUUCACACUGUGACGGUAGCUUACCAGAAAGGGACGGCUAACUACGUG
Molecule: ribosomal RNA, 497 nt
Filed under: uncultured bacterium
Lineage: Bacteria
Description: partial 16S ribosomal RNA
Rfam family: Bacterial small subunit ribosomal RNA
Source: RNAcentral